Molecule: ribosomal RNA, 465 nt
Filed under: uncultured bacterium
Lineage: Bacteria
Description: partial 16S ribosomal RNA
Rfam family: Bacterial small subunit ribosomal RNA
Source: RNAcentral
CCUACGGGUGGCAGCAGUGGGGAAUAUUGCGCAAUGGGCGAAAGCCUGACGCAGCGACGCCGCGUGAGGGAUGAAGGUCUUCGGAUCGUAAACCUCUGUCAGCAGGGAAGAACGGUCACUGUGCUAAUCAGCAGUGAAUUGACGGUACCUGCAAAGGAAGCACCGGCUAACUCCGUGCCAGCAGCCGCGGUAAUACGGAGGGUGCGAGCGUUAAUCGGAAUUACUGGGCGUAAAGCGCUCGUAGGCGGUAUGUCAAGUCAAGGGUGAAAUCCCCGGGCUCAACGUGGGAACUGCCUUUGAAACUGGCAGACUGGAGUGGGUGAGAGGAUAGUGGAAUUCGAGGUGUAGGAGUGAAAUCCGUAGAUAUCUGGAGGAACAGCAGUGGCGAAGGCGACUAUCUGGCACAUAACUGACGCUGAGGAGCGAAAGCGUGGGUAGCAAACAGGAUUAGAUACCCGGGUAGUC